Molecule: ribosomal RNA, 500 nt
Filed under: uncultured bacterium
Lineage: Bacteria
Description: partial 16S ribosomal RNA
Rfam family: Bacterial small subunit ribosomal RNA
Source: RNAcentral
AUUGAACGCUGGCGGCAUGCCUUACACAUGCAAGUCGAACGGUAACGGGUCCUUCGGGAUGCCGACGAGUGGCGAACGGGUGAGUAAUAUAUCGGAACGUGCCCAGUAGUGGGGGAUAACUGCUCGAAAGAGCAGCUAAUACCGCAUACGACCUGAGGGUGAAAGGGGGGGAUCGCAAGACCUCUCGCUAUUGGAGCGGCCGAUAUCAGAUUAGCUAGUUGGUGGGGUAAAGGCCUACCAAGGCAACGAUCUGUAGUUGGUCUGAGAGGACGACCAGCCACACUGGGACUGAGACACGGCCCAGACUCCUACGGGAGGCAGCAGUGGGGAAUUUUGGACAAUGGGCGCGAGCCCGAUCCAGCAAUGCCGCGUGCAGGAAGAAGGCCUUCGGGUUGUAAACUGCUUUUGUCAGGGAAGAAAUCUUCUGGGCUAAUACCCCGGGAGGAUGACGGUACCUGAAGAAUAAGCACCGGCUAACUACGUGCCAGCAGCCGCCGUAA